CCUACGGGAGGCAGCAGUGAGGAAUAUUGGACAAUGGGCGAGAGCCUGAUCCAGCCAUGCCGCGUGCAGGAAGACUGCCCUAUGGGUUGUAAACUGCUUUUAUACGGGAAGAAACACCCUCUCGUGAGGGGGCUUGACGGUACCGUAUGAAUAAGGAUCGGCUAACUCCGUGCCAGCAGCCGCGGUAAUACGGAGGAUCCAAGCGUUAUCCGGAAUCAUUGGGUUUAAAGGGUCCGUAGGCGGGACAAUAAGUCAGUGGUGAAAGUCUGCAGCUCAACUGUAGAACUGCCAUUGAUACUGUUGUCCUUGAGUAAUUAUGAAGUGGUUAGAAUAUGUAGUGUAGCGGUGAAAUGCAUAGAUAUUACAUAGAAUACCGAUUGCGAAGGCAGAUCACUAAUAAUUUACUGACGCUGAUGGACGAAAGCGUAG
RNAcentral lists this ribosomal RNA (429 nucleotides) under uncultured Flavobacterium sp. RNAcentral's name for it is "bacterial SSU rRNA". It matches the Rfam family "Bacterial small subunit ribosomal RNA", at positions 338 to 764 of the family's 1533-position model. The record is from RNAcentral. Lineage: Bacteria; Pseudomonadati; Bacteroidota; Flavobacteriia; Flavobacteriales; Flavobacteriaceae.